This is an unclassified non-coding RNA of Callithrix jacchus (white-tufted-ear marmoset), 360 nucleotides long. It matches the Rfam family "Metazoan signal recognition particle RNA". Rfam says of the family: The signal recognition particle (SRP) is a universally conserved ribonucleoprotein. It is involved in the co-translational targeting of proteins to membranes. The eukaryotic SRP consists of a 300-nucleotide 7S RNA and six proteins: SRPs 72, 68, 54, 19, 14, and 9. The record is from Ensembl. NCBI's taxonomy places the organism in Eukaryota, Metazoa, Chordata, Mammalia, Primates, Cebidae.
GUUCUUAUGUGUUCCUGUAGUCCCAGCUACUUGGGAGGCUGAGGCAGGAGGACUACUUGAGCCCAGGAGUUCUGGGCUGUAGUGCACUAUGCCGAUCAGGUGUCUGCACUAAGUUCAGCACCAAUAUGGUGACCUCCUGAGGGUGUGGGACCACCAGGUUGUCUAAGGAGGGGUGAAGCAGCCCAGGUCAGAAACAGAGCAGGUCAUGUAGUGCUGCAAGUGCAACUAUAAUUUUUUAAAUGGUUUACAGAAAAUAUAAAAAAUGAAAUGAAACAAACAGAGCAGUUCAAAACUCCUGUGCUGAUCAGGAGCAGCAGCCACUGCACUUCAGCCUGGGCAACACGGUAAGACCUCAUCUCC